GGAUGGAGCAGUGGUAGCUUGCUGGGCUCAUAACCCAGAAGUCUGGGGGUUCGACUCCCUCUCCCCCA
Molecule: transfer RNA, 68 nt
Filed under: TM7 phylum sp. oral taxon 352
Lineage: Bacteria; Candidatus Saccharimonadota
Description: tRNA-Met
Rfam family: tRNA
About the family: Transfer RNA (tRNA) molecules are approximately 80 nucleotides in length.
Source: RNAcentral